RNAcentral lists this ribosomal RNA (504 nucleotides) under uncultured Glomus. RNAcentral describes it as "SSU rRNA". It matches the Rfam family "Eukaryotic small subunit ribosomal RNA", at positions 569 to 1078 of the family's 1831-position model. The record is from RNAcentral. Lineage: Eukaryota; Fungi; Glomeromycota; Glomeromycetes; Glomerales; Glomeraceae.
AGCAGCCGCGGUAAUUCCAGCUCCAAUAGCGUAUAUUAAAGUUGUUGCAGUUGAAAGCUCGUAGUUGAAUUUCGGGAUCAAUAUGUCGGUCGUGCCUUCGGUACGUACUGGUAUCAUUGGUCCUCUCCUUUCUGACGAACCAUGAUGUCAUUAAUUUGGUGUUAUGGGGAGUUUGGACUGUUACUUUGAAAAAAUUGAAUGUUUAAAGCAAGCUAACGCUUGAAUACAUUAGCAUGGAAUAAUGAAAUAGGACGUUCGAUCCUAUUUUGUUGGUUUCUAGGAUUGACGUAAUGAUUAAUAGGGAUAGUUGGGGGCAUUAGUAUUCAAUUGUCAGAGGUGAAAUUCUUGGAUUUAUUGAAGACUAACUACUGCGAAAGCAUUUGCCAAGGAUGUUUUCAUUAAUCAAGAACGAAAGUUAGGGGAUCGAAGACGAUCAGAUACCGUCGUAGUCUUAACCAUAAACUAUGCCGACUAGGGAUCGGAUGAUGUUAAUUUUUUAAUGUA